This 498-nucleotide ribosomal RNA is filed under the name uncultured bacterium. Its description in RNAcentral is "bacterial SSU rRNA". It matches the Rfam family "Bacterial small subunit ribosomal RNA", at positions 30 to 521 of the family's 1533-position model. The record is from RNAcentral.
AUUGAACGCUGGCGGCAUGCCUUACACAUGCAAGUCGAACGGUAACGGGCCUUCGGGUGCCGGCGAGUGGCGAACGGGUGAGUAAUGCAUCGGAACGUACCUUUCAGUGGGGGAUAACGUAGCGAAAGUUACGCUAAUACCGCAUAUUCUGUGAGCAGGAAAGCAGGGGAUCGCAAGACCUUGCGCUGAUUGAGCGGCCGAUGUCAGAUUAGCUAGUUGGUGAGGUAAAGGCUCACCAAGGCGACGAUCUGUAGCGGGUCUGAGAGGAUGAUCCGCCACACUGGAACUGAGACACGGUCCAGACUCCUACGGGAGGCAGCAGUGGGGAAUUUUGGACAAUGGGGGCAACCCUGAUCCAGCCAUGCCGCGUGAGUGAAGAAGGCCUUCGGGUUGUAAAGCUCUUUCGGCCGGGAAGAAAUCGUAUGGGUUAAUACCCUGUGCGGAUGACGGUACCGGGCAUAAGAAGCACCGGUUAACUACGUGCCAGCAGCCGCCGGU